This 450-nucleotide ribosomal RNA is filed under the name uncultured bacterium. Its description in RNAcentral is "partial 16S ribosomal RNA". It matches the Rfam family "Bacterial small subunit ribosomal RNA", at positions 338 to 795 of the family's 1533-position model. The record is from RNAcentral.
CCUACGGGUGGCUGCAGUAAGGAAUAUUGGUCAAUGGACGCAAGUCUGAACCAGCCAUGCCGCGUGGAGGAUGAAGGUCCUCUGGAUUGUAAACUUCUUUUAUUUGGGAAGAAACCCACGAUUUCUAUUGUGGUUGACGGUACCAGAUGAAUAAGCACCGGCUAACUCCGUGCCAGCAGCCGCGGUAAUACGGAGGGUGCAAGCGUUAUCGGGAUUCACUGGGUUGAAGGGGUGCGUAGAAGUCCGUGGUGAAAUCCCCGAGCUUAACUUGGGAACUGCCGUUGAUACUAUCUGUCUUGAAUACUGUGGAGGUAAGCGGAAUAUGUCAUGUAGCGGUGAAAUGCUUAGAUAUGACAUAGAACACCUAUUGCGAAGGCAGCUUGCUACACAGUCAUUGACGCUGAGGCACGAAAGCGUGGGGAUCAAACAGGAUUAGAUACCCGGGUAGUC